AACGAACGCUGGCGGCAGGCCUAACACAUGCAAGUCGAACGCUCCGCAAGGGGAGUGGCGCACGGGUGAGUAACACGUGGGAACCUACCUUCUGGUACGGAGCAACCAAGGGAAACUUUGGCUAAGACCGUAUACGACCUCCGGGUGAAAGAUUGAUCGCCGGAAGAGGGGCCCGCGUCCGAUUAGGUAGUUGGUGAGGUAACGGCUCACCAAGCCUUCGAUCGGUAGCUGGUCUGAGAGGAUGACCAGCCACACUGGGACUGAGACACGGCCCAGACUCCUACGGGAGGCAGCAGUGGGGAAUCUUGCGCAAUGGGCGAAAGCCUGACGCAGCGACGCCGCGUGAGGGAUGACGGCCUGG
Molecule: ribosomal RNA, 361 nt
Filed under: uncultured bacterium
Lineage: Bacteria
Description: bacterial SSU rRNA
Rfam family: Bacterial small subunit ribosomal RNA
Source: RNAcentral